GGAAGUGUGCCUGAACCCAAGGACUACUUUGAUAAAGCAGACAUGGGGCAUCAAAUUGCCCCCACUUCCC
This 70-nucleotide transfer RNA is filed under the name Lophosaurus spinipes (Southern forest dragon). RNAcentral describes it as "tRNA-Ile". Lineage: Eukaryota; Metazoa; Chordata; Lepidosauria; Squamata; Agamidae. The record is from RNAcentral.